RNAcentral lists this transfer RNA (77 nucleotides) under Rhodospirillales bacterium RIFCSPLOWO2_12_FULL_67_15. Its description in RNAcentral is "tRNA-Pro". It matches the Rfam family "tRNA". From Rfam's summary of the family: Transfer RNA (tRNA) molecules are approximately 80 nucleotides in length. Their secondary structure includes four short double-helical elements and three loops (D, anti-codon, and T loops). RNAcentral also lists the same sequence under 1 other name. Lineage: Bacteria; Pseudomonadati; Pseudomonadota; Alphaproteobacteria; Rhodospirillales. The record is from RNAcentral.
CGGGGAGUGGCGCAGUCUGGUAGCGCACCUGCUUUGGGAGCAGGGGGUCGUGGGUUCGAAUCCCGCCUCCCCGACCA